AAUGAACGUUGGCGGCGUGGAUUAGGCAUGCAAGUCGUGCGGAAAGGCCCUUCGGGGUACUCGAGCGGCGAAAGGGAGAGUAACGCGUGGAUCAUCUGCCCUCAGGACCGGGAUAGCCAAGGGAAACUUUGGGUAAUACCGGAUAAUGUCUCAGGACUAAAGGUGUAAGUCCGCAUGGGGAUGAGUCCGCGUCCUACUAGCUAGUUGGUGAGGUAAUGGCUCACCAAGGCGACGAUGGGUACGGGUGUGAGAGCAUGACCCCGCUCACUGGGACUGAGACACUGCCCAGACACCUACGGGUGGCUG
This 306-nucleotide ribosomal RNA is filed under the name uncultured Planctomycetota bacterium. RNAcentral's name for it is "bacterial SSU rRNA". It matches the Rfam family "Bacterial small subunit ribosomal RNA", at positions 29 to 351 of the family's 1533-position model. Lineage: Bacteria; Pseudomonadati; Planctomycetota. The record is from RNAcentral.